GGAGUACACAAGAGGGUAGCAGCCAAUUAUGGAGGUGUUAUUAAAAUGUAAAAACGGUUUCGGAAAUGUCAUUAGUGCAAACACAGAAUGUUUAUGAAUGCGCGAGCACUGAUGUAGUUAAGGUCACAGAAACAGUUUGCUACAGUAACGCAUACGCGCAAUUUAUUCACCCGCGUCUGACUGACAGGUCAACACAGCGUCCAGACGAGCUUCUCAUUUAGACGAGCUCGUUUGGACCCCUCCAUCACGCUGCUGUCCUUGUCUGUGCACACACACACACACACACACACACACACACACACACACACACACACACACACACAGGCAGAGGAAUCGAUUCACUGGCGACUAAGUGGAGACGACCCUUCCGGCUAAUUAUCGCUGGACCGUUUUGCGCUGACCUCAUCACACACUCAGCGACUGAAACCAAACUUAGCGGCAGAAGAAUUCUGAUUAACUGCUUCUUCUUGUCAGGCCAAAAGUGGAGGAAGUGCCUCAUGCACCCCGAGUAGCUGCAACAGACAUAUUUACACGCUGUCAGUGGUUCAACCACAGGCUGCUCCAGCAGGGUUGUCCACAGAACAGCUGGGACAAGCCUCCUUCCCUGUUCCUGAGGUACAGACCACCCCCCCCCCCCCAAAAGCAUGCCAAAAUCGCUGCUCAUCCAAAGUCAUUUGCAGCAAAGUCCAUUAUCAUCAUCACUUGUGGUGAUGAAUUCCCUCUGAUGGUGGCAGGCCCGCAGCAGCCUCCGCUCAUAAUGACAUUCUGCUCUUGUUGGCAGUCACUCCCCGUCAGAUGGCUCAGUCCCAACAGCGGGCGCAUCAGACAGAGCGCGCACGCACGUCACCGGGCCGAGCCUUGGCGCCACAGGACGGCAGGAUGCUUGAAGAGCAGAGCCCAGCCCCAGGAAGGACCAAGUGUUACCGGAGAACUUCCUCUGCUGCACAGGAAGUGAUGUCAUAUCCACCACGCAACGACUUCCUAAAGGGAACAUUUCCCACCGACCUGCGCGCCUCCUUCAGUGUGAAAUAAGGUGAUAAAUGAAGCAACUGAGCGAGCGUCGAAGCUGCUGAAGGUGACUCUCGGCCUCAGCUCGUCGGGGGACUCAGGAAACAAGAGGCCUGGCGAGCGGCGCGCCGGGCGGCUGACAAGCGGUGAUGGUGACCAGGUGGGAGAUGUUAUCCUAACAGUCUGGAACUCCUGUGAAUUAUUUGCUGAUAGAUAUAAACAGCUGUUAUUCUUGGUAAUGGAAAGCAAUUAGAAACAUCUGCAUACUUGGCUGUGAGCGAUGCCGUCCGCGGCCCCCAGGUGCCGCCGGGGAAAUAAUUACAUCAUCAGGACAGGGGCCGGGGCUGAAGGACUGCUAGUGAUCUGUGAAGAGCGAGGAGGAGAGCCGAGAGAGCAUGUGCACACACCUGCACACACAGCAGAUACAUAAACGUGACCCGAUCGAUCCGGUUUAAUAAAGGGGAGCGGUUUCCCUCCCUCAUCGCCAUGGCGAGAGCAUGUUGAGACCACAAGUGAAAGUGAAAACAAAUCCCUCGCUGAGAAACUGGAGCAACAUUUCUCAACGUCGGCGUUUCCUGCUGUAAAGUCACACGCGUGGUGUUUCGGCGACAUUCGGCCCGACCCAAAACGGUCCCUUUGUGCGAGGAGCGGUUCCGUUCUCUCUCACCAAAUGUCUGAAAGCCAAGCGUCUUGCAGAAAAAAGUACGAGCAGAAACAGAGAAACACAAACACCCACAGAUGAAGACAGCGGACAUUUGUUACAG
RNAcentral lists this long non-coding RNA (1772 nucleotides) under Takifugu rubripes (torafugu). Its description in RNAcentral is "lncRNA (ENSTRUG00000029452.1)". Lineage: Eukaryota; Metazoa; Chordata; Actinopteri; Tetraodontiformes; Tetraodontidae. The record is from RNAcentral.